Molecule: ribosomal RNA, 253 nt
Filed under: uncultured bacterium
Lineage: Bacteria
Description: partial 16S ribosomal RNA
Rfam family: Bacterial small subunit ribosomal RNA
Source: RNAcentral
UACGUAGGGUGCAAGCGUUAUUCGGAUUUACUGGGCGUAAAGCGUGCGCAGGCGGCUUUGUAAGCCAGAUGUGAAAUCCCCGGGCUUAACCUGGGAAUGGCAUUUGGGACUGCAAGGCUCGAGUGCGGCAGAGGAGACUGGAAUUCCUGGUGUAGCAGUGAAAUGCGUAGAUAUCAGGAGGAAUACCGAUGGCGAAGGCAGGUCUCUGGGCUGACACUGACGCUCAUGCACGAAAGCGUGGGGAGCAAACAGG